This 261-nucleotide long non-coding RNA is filed under the name Lathyrus oleraceus (garden pea). Its description in RNAcentral is "Pisum sativum (pea) long non-coding RNA (PSAT_LNC034725)". Lineage: Eukaryota; Viridiplantae; Streptophyta; Magnoliopsida; Fabales; Fabaceae. The record is from RNAcentral.
AACAUAUCAAGGAUAGACUCAGAGCAGGGGAAGAAAAUAUUUGUCAUCGGUUAGGAUGAACAUAUCAAGGAUAUACUUCUUGGGAAACGUGAAAACAAAUUCGCUGGGGGAAAAGGGGGUUACUUUUGUCGGGUAUUGGGAGAGAAGUAACAAAACUGCCAACUAAGAAGAAUAUUACUAGUUAUUGGGUAAUAAACUCUCAGGGGACCAAAAGCAUCUAUCUAGGUAAGAUCUAGAAAGAAACGGUAAUCAAGACUCAAC